Small nucleolar RNA from Capsicum annuum, 106 nucleotides. Lineage: Eukaryota; Viridiplantae; Streptophyta; Magnoliopsida; Solanales; Solanaceae. The record is from RefSeq and is a predicted model, not a curated record.
ACCUUAUGUUCUGGACAUUUCAUAAGCUUCUCCUUAAAUCUGCCCCAUGCUUCAUACAAAAGUUCUCCAUUGUGUUGACAAAAAUUUGUGAUUUCAUCAUGCAAUU